CUGUCUGGUAAUAGAUGCUCUGAUGCUCAACACUACUGUUUGCCAGACACAGACCAAGAUGGCUUCACUUGCAUUUGCAAUGUUUUCGAUGGGUUUUUCUUGCAAAACGAUAGUUCGUGUAGAAAACUUCCAUCUAAACAGAUUGUGGUGACAGCUGAUUUGGAUUUCAAUCAGGCCUACAAAAACCCGACAUCAACUGCUUUCCGGAGACUAGCUGCUGUAUUUGAACGGGCGAUUUUCAUGAGACUGAAGGAGAACCCAUCCACCAACGGUGUAUUAUCAGUUCAAGUCCCGUCGAUGGAGGAAGGGAGCGUUGUCGUAAGGUCUGUGGCU
This is a long non-coding RNA of Patiria miniata (bat star), 333 nucleotides long. RefSeq lists it as uncharacterized. The transcript has 3 exons. NCBI's taxonomy places the organism in Eukaryota, Metazoa, Echinodermata, Asteroidea, Valvatida, Asterinidae. The record is from RefSeq and is a predicted model, not a curated record.